This is a small nucleolar RNA of Tachyglossus aculeatus (Australian echidna), 137 nucleotides long. NCBI's taxonomy places the organism in Eukaryota, Metazoa, Chordata, Mammalia, Monotremata, Tachyglossidae. The record is from RefSeq and is a predicted model, not a curated record.
CCCCUCCCAGGGUCACACUGGAGAGUUCCCAGGACUCUACCAGUCUCGACUACAGGAGGAAGAGUGAAGCAGAGGCCUACCCAUUCCAUUCCUAGCUUGGCCAGUGGCUAGCAAGUGGAAGGCAAUGUGCUACAAGU